ACGGAGGGUGCAAGCGUUACUCGGAAUCACUGGGCGUAAAGGAUGCGUAGGCUGGAAAUCAAGUCGAGAGUGAAAUCCAACGGCUUAACCGUUGAACUGCUCUCGAUACUGGUUACCUAGAAUAUGGGAGAGGUAGAUGGAAUUGGAGGUGUAGGGGUAAAAUCCGUAGAUAUCACGAGGAAUACCGAUUGCGAAGGCGACCUACUGGACGAUUAUUGACGCUCAGGUAUGAAAGCGUGGGGAGCAAACAG
This 251-nucleotide ribosomal RNA is filed under the name uncultured prokaryote. RNAcentral describes it as "partial 16S rRNA". It matches the Rfam family "Bacterial small subunit ribosomal RNA", at positions 525 to 775 of the family's 1533-position model. The record is from RNAcentral.